GAUGAACGCUGGCGGCGUGCCUAACACAUGCAAGUCGAACGCUCGCAAGAGAGUGGCGCACGGGUGAGUAACACGUAGCUAAUCUGCCCUCAAGACAAGGAUAACUGUAGGAAACUACUGCUAAUACUUGAUAAGCUUACGGACUGUAGAGGUCUAUAAGAAAAGAUUUAUCGCUUGAGGAUGAGGCUGCGCGCCAUCAGCUAGUCGGUAAGGUAAUGGCUUACCAAGGCGACGACGGCUAGGGGACCUGAGAGGGUGACCCCCCCACACUGGGACUGAGACACGGCCCAGACUCCUACGGGAGGCAGCAGUGAGGAAUAUUGGUCAAUGGAGGCAACUCUGAACCAGCCAUGCCGCGUGCAGGAUGACGGCCCUAUGGGUUGUAAACUGCUUUUAUACAAGAGAAAACCCUGGUACGUGUACCAGGUUGAUAGUAUUGUAAGAAUAAGCAUCGGCUAACUUCGUGCCAGCAGCCGCGGUAAU
Molecule: ribosomal RNA, 483 nt
Filed under: uncultured bacterium
Lineage: Bacteria
Description: bacterial SSU rRNA
Rfam family: Bacterial small subunit ribosomal RNA
Source: RNAcentral